GAGCCGUGAUGAGAGUUGCGCUAAAGUGGAAGGAGGGUCCUCCACAAGAAUCUGACCAUCAGAUGAUUAAAAGGCGCUACUGAGCUC
Molecule: small nucleolar RNA, 87 nt
Organism: Beta vulgaris subsp. vulgaris (sugar beet)
Lineage: Eukaryota; Viridiplantae; Streptophyta; Magnoliopsida; Caryophyllales; Amaranthaceae
Rfam family: small nucleolar RNA snoR114
Source: Rfam